GAUGAAGAACGUAGCGAAAUGCGAUAAGUAAUGUGAAUUGCAGAAUUCAGUGAACCAUCGAAUCUUUGAACGCACAUUGCGCCCGGCAGUAAUCUGCCGGGCAUGCCUGUCCGAGCGUCAUUUCUCCCCUCGAGCGCAGCUUUCCCCCCCGGGGGAGGGCCGCGCCCGGUGUUGGGGCGCUACGGAGGAGCCCAGCGCUCCCCCGUAGGCCCCGAAAUGUAGUGGCGGCCCCGCCGCGGCGCCCCCUGCGUAGUAGUUUUACAACUCGCAUCGGGUCCCGGCGGAGGCCAGCCGUCAAACCCCCCAACUUCAAUAGUUUGACCUAGGAUCAGGUAGGGUUACCCGCUGAACUUAAGCAUAUCAAUAAGCGGAGGA
RNAcentral lists this unclassified non-coding RNA (375 nucleotides) under soil metagenome. RNAcentral's name for it is "partial contains 5.8S ribosomal RNA, internal transcribed spacer 2, and large subunit ribosomal RNA". The stretch from base 1 to 120 matches the Rfam family "5.8S ribosomal RNA", at positions 35 to 154 of the family's 154-position model. The record is from RNAcentral.